Molecule: long non-coding RNA, 1720 nt
Organism: Arachis stenosperma
Lineage: Eukaryota; Viridiplantae; Streptophyta; Magnoliopsida; Fabales; Fabaceae
Exons: 3
Source: RefSeq, a predicted model, not a curated record
UCUCUUCAACUGCCACACCCCUCCCCUUUCUUCCUAAACGCACCCCCCAUGGAGAGGAGAGAGCAUAAGAGACCUGGGAUGGGAGAGAGGGAGCCGCGCCCUGCCGCCGUCUAACCCGUCUCGCCACCGUCAUCGUCAUGUGCUAUCUGCGUCUCCAUUCAUGCCUGCCGGUCUAUCAUUGAGCCGCCAUCAUUAUUGCCAAGAGAAAGGGAUGCCGUCGACGCUGUUCAGGGAGGACGGAAGAAUCGUGCGAGAGCCAGGGGAGGAGGGAGCUUCUAUUGCAUCGCCGACGUGCCUCCAUCACUGCCGAGCUGCCUUGCUACCGCUAGCUCUGUCGCGUCAGGUCGCCAUCGAGGGAACUGUCACCGUCACGGCUGUAGUCAUGGGCUUCAAAAGGAAGAAAAUGCAAUAAGGAAAGGAGGAGCUAUGUCCCGCUUCUGCCGUCGUCGUUGCACUCCACCGACGCGCCAGGUCAUCGUCGUUGUGGACAGAAGCCACCGCCAUCGCCAUUUGGAUCCUCUGUGGGGAGGAGCAAUGCUAACGUUGCCGGAUAUUAGCCACUGGAACCUUUGCUAGCUUGCCCUAGCUGCCGCAUCGUCACUGGAACUGUCGUUGCUCCAUCCUUUGAAUUUUUUGUGGUACAAUGAGUUUUCUUGUCCCAAAAUCCUUACCAUUGUUAUUUUGUUUUAAGUUACUAAGAUCUGUGCGACAUUGAUGCGUUGAGUUUUGGUUCUUGCAUUUCGCGUUUGGAGUUGCUGUUAUUGUUGCGGAAGCGUUAUAGAGCUGUGGUUACGACUGCCGCUGUUGUGGGCCGGGAGAAAAAGUGUUUUAUGGCUUUUGGAUUUUGAUUAUUCGAGAAGAAUAGAGGAAUAAGAAGACCAGGGUGAGGAGGUUGCAGUUGCGUGUAGUGUUGCUAGAGUAAUAGAGCAGUGGAGGGGUGGUCAUCGUCUUGCGUCAGAGCUCGACAGUAGAACAGAGGUUGCUACGGUUCUGCAUCUUUGGUUCGUAAAGACGAGGAGGUGAGACAAGGUAAUUUUUGGCUGAAAUUGAGGGACUUGAGCAAAACUCUGAAAAAUGCUGACAAAAGGACUGCUGAUGCUGUUUGAUUCUGACCUCCCUGCACUCAAAAUGGAUUUUCUAGAGCUACAAAACUCUAAAUGGCGUGCUUUCGAUAGCGUUGGAAAGUAGACAUCCAGAGCUUUCCAGCAAUAUAUAAUAGUCCAUACUUUAUUCGGGAAUUGAUGACGUAAAAUGGCGCUCAACGCCAAGUACAUGCUGCUGUCUGGAGUUAAACGCCAGAAACACGUCACAACCCGGAGUUGAACGCCAGAAACACGCUAUAACUCGGCGUUCAAAUCCAAAGGAAGCCUCAGCUUGUGGAUAGAUCAAGCUCAGCCCAAACAUACACCAAGUGGACCCCGGAAGUGGAUUUAUGCAUCAAUUACUUACUCAUGUAAACCCUAGUAGCUAGUCUAGUAUAAAUAGGAUAAUUUACUAUUGUAUUAGACAUCUUUUGAUCACUUUAGAUCUGAGGAACAUCUCUGGAUGCCUAGUCCUUAGACCUUCAUGGGGGCUGGCCAUUCGGCCUUGCUUGAACCUUUCACUUAUGUAUUUUCAACGGUGGAGUUUCUACACACCAUAGAUUAAGGGUGUGGAGCUCUGCUGUACCUCAAGUUUCAAUACAAUUACUAUUAUUUUCUAUUCGAUUCUCUUUUAUUCU